Molecule: ribosomal RNA, 259 nt
Filed under: uncultured Glomus
Lineage: Eukaryota; Fungi; Glomeromycota; Glomeromycetes; Glomerales; Glomeraceae
Description: partial 18S ribosomal RNA
Rfam family: Eukaryotic small subunit ribosomal RNA
Source: RNAcentral
AAGCUCGUAGUUGAAUUUCGAGACCGGUUUACUGGUCGUGCUUUUGUACGUACUGGUAUUAUUGGUUUCUCCUUUCUGACGAAUCAUAAUGCCAUUAAUUUGGGUGUUUUUGGGGAAUCAGGACUGUUACUUUGAAAAAAUUAGAGUGUUUAAAGCAGGCUCACGCUUGAAUACAUUAGCAUGGAAUAACGAAAUAGGACGUUUGAUUUUAUUUUGUUGGUUUCUAGGAUCGACGUAAUGAUUAAUAGGGAUAGUUGGG